Molecule: ribosomal RNA, 463 nt
Filed under: Selenomonas sp. oral taxon 140
Lineage: Bacteria; Bacillati; Bacillota; Negativicutes; Selenomonadales; Selenomonadaceae
Description: bacterial SSU rRNA
Rfam family: Bacterial small subunit ribosomal RNA
Source: RNAcentral
GACGAACGCUGGCGGCGUGCUUAACACAUGCAAGUCGAACGGAGCGAAUGAAAGCUUGCUUUUAUAAGCUUAGUGGCAAACGGGUGAGUAACACGUAGACAACCUGCCGACAGGAUGGGGACAACAUUCCGAAAGGAAUGCUAAUACCGAAUGAAGUCAGAGAAGGGCAUCCUUUUCUGAUGAAAGAUGGCCUCUAUAUAUAAGCUAUCACCUGUUGAUGGGUCUGCGUCUGAUUAGCUGGUAGGUGAGGUAACGGCUCACCUAGGCGACGAUCAGUAGCCGGUCUGAGAGGAUGAACGGCCACAUUGGGACUGAGACACGGCCCAGACUCCUACGGGAGGCAGCAGUGGGGAAUCUUCCGCAAUGGGCGCAAGCCUGACGGAGCAACGCCGCGUGAGUGAAGAAGGUCUUCGGAUCGUAAAGCUCUGUUGAUGGGGACGAACGUGCCUAAUGCGAAUAGUAU